CACUGCCGAGAAAAGCCUCUAGAUAGAAAAUAGGUGCCCGUACCGCAAACCGACACAGGUAGUCAAGAUGAGAAUUCUAAGGUGAGCGAGCGAACUCUCGUUAAGGAACUCGGCAAAAUGACCCCGUAACUUCGGGAGAAGGGGUGCUCUUUAGGGUUAACGCCCAGAAGAGCCGCAGUGAAUAGGCCCAAGCGACUGUUUAUCAAAAACACAGGUCUCUGCUAAACCGUAAGGUGAUGUAUAGGGGCUGACGCCUGCCCGGUGCUGGAAGGUUAAGAGGAGUGGUUAGCUUCUGCGAAGCUACGAAUCGAAGCCCCAGUAAACGGCGGCCGUAACUAUAACGGUCCUAAGGUAGCGAAAUUCCUUGUCGGGUAAGUUCCGACCCGCACGAAAGGCGUAACGAUUUGGGCACUGUCUCAACGAGAGACUCGGUGAAAUCAUAGUACCUGUGAAGAUGCAGGUUACCCGCGACAGGACGGAAAGACCCCGUGGAGCUUUACUGUAGCCUGAUAUUGAAAUUCGGCACAGCUUGUACAGGAUAGGUAGGAGCCUUUGAAACGUGAGCGCUAGCUUACGUGGAGGCGCUGGUGGGAUACUACCCUAGCUGUGUUGGCUUUCUAACCCGCACCACUUAUCGUGGUGGGAGACAGUGUCAGGCGGGCAGUUUGACUGGGGCGGUCGCCUCCUAAAAGGUAACGGAGGCGCUCAAAGGUUCCCUCAGAAUGGUUGGAAAUCAUUCAUAGAGUGUAAAGGCAUAAGGGAGCUUGACUGCGAGACCUACAAGUCGAGCAGGGUCGAAAGACGGACUUAGUGAUCCGGUGGUUCCGCAUGGAAGGGCCAUCGCUCAACGGAUAAAAGCUACCCCGGGGAUAACAGGCUUAUCUCCCCCAAGAGUUCACAUCGACGGGGAGGUUUGGCACCUCGAUGUCGGCUCAUCGCAUCCUGGGGCUGUAGUCGGUC
Molecule: ribosomal RNA, 960 nt
Filed under: Staphylococcus aureus
Lineage: Bacteria; Bacillati; Bacillota; Bacilli; Caryophanales; Staphylococcaceae
Description: partial 23S ribosomal RNA
Rfam family: Bacterial large subunit ribosomal RNA
Source: RNAcentral